UACGUAGGGGGCAAGCGUUAUCCGGAUUUACUGGGUGUAAAGGGAGCGUAGGCGGCAGGGCAAGCCUGAUGUGAAAUCCCGCGGCUCAACCGCGGAACUGCAUUUGAAACUGCCAUGCUGGAGUGCCGGAGAGGUAAGCGGAAUUCCUAGUGUAGCGGUGAAAUGCGUAGAUAUUAGGAGGAACACCAGUGGCGGAGGCGGCUUACUGGACGGUAACUGACGCUGAGGCUCGAAAGCGUGGGGAGCAAACAGG
This 253-nucleotide ribosomal RNA is filed under the name uncultured Eubacteriales bacterium. Its description in RNAcentral is "uncultured Clostridiales bacterium partial 16S ribosomal RNA". It matches the Rfam family "Bacterial small subunit ribosomal RNA", at positions 524 to 776 of the family's 1533-position model. Lineage: Bacteria; Bacillati; Bacillota; Clostridia; Eubacteriales. The record is from RNAcentral.